GGGGCUGUAGCUCAGUGGUAGAGCGCCCACCUCCCAUGUGUGAGGCAUUGGGUUCGAUCCUCAGCACCA
This 69-nucleotide transfer RNA is filed under the name Marmota marmota marmota (Alpine marmot). It matches the Rfam family "tRNA". From Rfam's summary of the family: Transfer RNA (tRNA) molecules are approximately 80 nucleotides in length. Their secondary structure includes four short double-helical elements and three loops (D, anti-codon, and T loops). RNAcentral also lists the same sequence under 1 other name. The record is from Rfam by way of RNAcentral. Lineage: Eukaryota; Metazoa; Chordata; Mammalia; Rodentia; Sciuridae.